Molecule: ribosomal RNA, 375 nt
Filed under: uncultured organism
Description: partial 16S ribosomal RNA
Rfam family: Bacterial small subunit ribosomal RNA
Source: RNAcentral
GUAGGGUGCAAGCGUUAUCCGGAAUCAUUGGGCGUAAAGAGCUCGUAGGCGGUUCAGCAAGUCGGCUGUGAAAUCCCGAGGCUUAACCUCGGAACUGCAGUCGAUACUGCUGUGACUAGAGUCCGGUAGAGGAGAAUGGAAUUCCCGGUGUAGCGGUGAAAUGCGCAGAUAUCGGGAGGAACACCAGUAGCGAAGGCGGUUCUCUGGGCCGGUACUGACGCUGAGGAGCGAAAGCGUGGGGUAGCAAACAGGAUUAGAUACCCUGGUAGUCCACGCCGUAAACGUUGGACACUAGGUGUGGCGUUCCGACCAACGGGUGCCGUGCCGAAGCUAACGCAUUAAGUGUCCCCGCCUGGGGAUACGGCCGCAAGGCUA